Molecule: long non-coding RNA, 1342 nt
Filed under: Astyanax mexicanus (Mexican tetra)
Lineage: Eukaryota; Metazoa; Chordata; Actinopteri; Characiformes; Acestrorhamphidae
Description: lncRNA (ENSAMXG00005018741.1)
Source: RNAcentral
GGAGCUUGGGAACUUGAGGCGUGGUUCAUAUCCCAAAAUUUUGUUAAUUCUUAACAACACUAUGUGAUCAAUGUUAUAAAUAAAAUCAAUCUUAAAUUUAAAUGUAUUAUAAUUUAAUAAGAUAAUUUGGAUAAUUUAUAUUAACAUAUACACCAUGACAAUAAAAUAUCUGGCAGGUUCACACUGUAAAAAGUAGAGAUGGGACCGAUCCGAUACAAUAUUGACGGAAUUUAACAUAUCGGCUGUCAGGCCAGCGCAGCCGAUCGACUUACCGAACCAUGAUCCAGUCCGCAGCUUGAGCUGGAAGAUAAACUUGCUGUAAAGUAACACAAAACGCAGCACUGAUCCGGAUUCCAGUUCCACAGUUUACCCUGAACCCCCAGCAGCUUUAGUCUGCGGCUGACUGAGUAAAUUUAAGCUUUUUGUCCAGAAAAAGGUCAAGUUUCUGGAGAGUUUUCACUUUGAAAACGUCGAACAGCCGAACGGCUACAUGUAAUAUUUGUAAAUUCAGCGUCCGAGGGGUGAACAGAAUAACACCAGCAGUCUGUUAGCCUAGCUAGCACUGAACCAACAGCUGCAUUCUGGUGUAGUAAAGUGUGAGAAGAGUAGCAGUGGGCAGGUGCAGCAGCCCCUGCAGGGUUCCAGUUCUGCGACCCACAAGAAAACCAAAUCAGGCAGGUUCAAGAGAGAGGUCAGGGCUGCUCUCAGCACGCUCAGACACAAGCUGAGGUUGGAACAAAAACAGACUAUAGCCCCCAGUGAUGCAGUCAAACAGAGACCACACUACGAUUGCAGUGACUUACAGAAUUUCAGCUUAAAGGAGCUAAAAGCUUUGAAGACCACACUGAGUAAAGACAUUCACAACCUCAGCUCAGAAUUGGUGGGUCGUCUUCUGACAAGGGACCAGCUGAGGACUGAGCAGGAUGCCAUGUUACUGGAAAUACAGGACAUGAGGUCGCUGUGAUAUCACAGAGUGAGGAGGUCACUUUGUUCAAGGAACAAAAGGGAGGCUGCCACCAUAAAAACAUACAGACCUGGGAGAUCGGCCUGGAAGAAUGAGAUUGUACUGUGAAAAGCUUCACCACUCCAAAAAGACUGUUUAAAAUUGCACAGAUUUCCAUUUGUUUGAGUUGUUUUUUUUGUUGUUGUUUUGCUUAUGGUGUUUUUAAAGGGUGUUUUUAAGGCAUUGAUAAGCUGCUAAUGCUGCCUAAUGAGCAAACCUCUUUCCAACUGUCUUUGACAAAUCAUUAAUUUUAUUCUUUUUUAAUCCAGUUUAUUUACAUUUACAUCACACUUACAACAUUUUGGUGAUUUACUCUGUGGGUAAUUUGAUAGUCAAUAG